GAGCGGACCGACGGGAGCUUGCUCCCUUAGGUCAGCGGCGGACGGGUGAGUAACACGUGGGUAACCUGCCUGUAAGACUGGGAUAACUCCGGGAAACCGGGGCUAAUACCGGAUGCUUGAUUGAACCGCAUGGUUCAAUCAUAAAAGGUGGCUUUUAGCUACCACUUACAGAUGGACCCGCGGCGCAUUAGCUAGUUGGCGAGGUAACGGCUCACCAAGGCGACGAUGCGUAGCCGACCUGAGAGGGUGAUCGGCCACACUGGGACUGAGACACGGCCCAGACUCCUACGGGAGGCAGCAGUAGGGAAUCUUCCGCAAUGGACGAAAGUCUGACGGAGCAACGCCGCGUGAGUGAUGAAGGUUUUCGGAUCGUAAAACUCUGUUGUUAGGGAAGAACAAGUACCGUUCGAAUAGGGCGGCACCUUGACGGUACCUAACCAGAAAGCCACGGCUAACUACGUGCCAGCAGCCGCGGUAAUACGUAGGUGGCAAGCGUUGUCCGGAAUUAUUGGGCGUAAAGCGCGCGCAGGCGGUUUCUUAAGUCUGAUGUGAAAGCCCCCGGCUCAACCGGGGAGGGUCAUUGGAAACUGGGGAACUUGAGUGCAGAAGAGGAGAGUGGAAUUCCACGUGUAGCGGUGAAAUGCGUAGAGAUGUGGAGGAACACCAGUGGCGAAGGCGACUCUCUGGUCU
This 690-nucleotide ribosomal RNA is filed under the name uncultured Bacilli bacterium. RNAcentral describes it as "bacterial SSU rRNA". It matches the Rfam family "Bacterial small subunit ribosomal RNA", at positions 64 to 735 of the family's 1533-position model. The record is from RNAcentral. Lineage: Bacteria; Bacillati; Bacillota; Bacilli.